Lolium perenne is the source of this 1044-nucleotide non-coding RNA. NCBI's taxonomy places the organism in Eukaryota, Viridiplantae, Streptophyta, Magnoliopsida, Poales, Poaceae. The record is from RefSeq and is a predicted model, not a curated record.
CAGAAAAGGAGCGAACAAGACUGCUGUCGGAUGGGUGCAGCUCCUGGGUCCAUACCUCGGUGCUUGGGCCAAUGCGCCGGCCAUGUCAUGGGCCGCUAGGGAGCCGUUUGAUCUUCAGGAAUUUCAGCAGUACUUGCGGCCGUACAUGCCUAGGACACGCCUUCGGCUGAGCCAGGCGUGUGACCCAGUUGAGAUGGCUCCCUCGACACAGUGGGACACGUACCCUCGCCACUCCACUUCAGGCACUCGGCAUCACGCAGCCGUGUUGACGGCGGAGCUGCAAGAUGAGGCCGCCCAGUAUGAACGCUCGCUCUCCGUCGGCCCACUUCUUGGACGGUAUGAGCACCACGCCUCCUUCGCACAGCGUUUUCAGGAGAAACUACGUCGUAUCUACGCGAGUAUCACAUGCACCCGAUCUUCGGAUGUUGUCGAGUACCGAGCAGCACAGCGGCCACCUCGUCCCUCUUUGCAGAUGCAUCAGCCGCGACACGGCCCGCGCCCACGUAUGGAGGUACCGCCGAGCCCGAGGCCACCAUCUCCUAACCAGGCAGGAGGAUCUGGUUGGCAAAACCAGCAGCAGUAGGAGCCUACUUACGAGUACUGGCAGCGUGGCGGUUUCGGCAUGGAGCAGCAAACUCUGAUGCCUAACUUGGGGUGGCGUCCCCGUAUGGAUCAGCCAGAGGGUGAUACACAUAUGUCGUCUAUGUCCGGAUCACGAUCCUUCUGGUCCAGUGCUCACGAUCAGGAAGAAGAAACACAGCAGAUGUACCAAGACUGGAUGUCUAGUCAACAUCACACUCCACCCCCAGAUCCCACACAGCCCACGCAGUACAGUCAGCACGAGCAGGGGUACAUGCUUCCUCCCCGACAGCGGCAGCCACCUAUCAGAGGGUACUCGCCCUCACCUUUUUAGGCUGGACCGCCACCACCGAGGCGUCGAGGGAGGGGCCGUGGUCAGUGAGAUGACACUCACUGAGUCAUCUGUAUGGAUGAGACUUAUUACUACUACUAUUUCCUUCAUCUAGUGUAUGAGUACUAUUUGUA